GAAAUAGCUUUAGGGCUAGCCUCAAGUGAUGAUUAUUGGAGGUAGAGCACUGUUUGGACGAGGGGCCCCUCUCGGGUUACCGAAUUCAGACAAACUCCGAAUGCCAAUUAAUUUAACUUGGGAGUCAGAACAUGGGUGAUAAGGUCCGUGUUCGAAAGGGAAACAGCCCAGACCACCAGCUAAGGUCCCAAAAUAUAUGUUAAGUGGAAAAGGAUGUGGCGUUGCCCAGACAACUAGGAUGUUGGCUUAGAAGCAGCCAUCAUUUAAAGAGUGCGUAAUAGCUCACUAGUCGAGUGACACUGCGCCGAAAAUGUACCGGGGCUAAACAUAUUACCGAAGCUGUGGAUUGUCCUUUGGACAAUGGUAGGAGAGCGUUCUAAGGGCGUUGAAGCAUGAUCGUAAGGACAUGUGGAGCGCUUAGAAGUGAGAAUGCCGGUGU
RNAcentral lists this ribosomal RNA (439 nucleotides) under Staphylococcus aureus. Its description in RNAcentral is "partial 23S ribosomal RNA". It matches the Rfam family "Bacterial large subunit ribosomal RNA", at positions 861 to 1303 of the family's 2925-position model. The record is from RNAcentral. Lineage: Bacteria; Bacillati; Bacillota; Bacilli; Caryophanales; Staphylococcaceae.